Molecule: ribosomal RNA, 451 nt
Filed under: uncultured bacterium
Lineage: Bacteria
Description: partial 16S ribosomal RNA
Rfam family: Bacterial small subunit ribosomal RNA
Source: RNAcentral
AACGAACGCUGGCGGCAGGUCUUAGGCAUGCAAGUCGAACGGGUGUAGCAAUACAUCAGUGGCGCACGAGUGAGUAACGCGUGGGAAGCUGCCCUUCACUGGGGAAUAACGUUUGGAAACGAACGCUAAUACCGCAUACGCCGGAAACGGGAAAGAUUUAUCGGUGAAGGAUGCGCCCGCGUUGGAUUAGCUUGUUGGUGGGGUAACGGCCUACCAAGGCGAUGAUCCAUAGCUGGUCUGAGAGGACGAUCAGCCACGCUGGAACUGAGACACGGUCCAGACUCCUACGGGAGGCAGCAGCUAAGAAUAUUAGGGAAUGGAGGAAACUCUGACCCAGCCAUGCCGCGUGAAUGAAGAAGGCCUUCGGGUUGUAAAGUUCUUUUAGUCGUGAAGAUGAUGACAGUAGCGACAGAAAAAGCACCGGCUAACUUCGUGCCAGCCGCCGCUGUAA